RNAcentral lists this ribosomal RNA (443 nucleotides) under uncultured soil bacterium. Its description in RNAcentral is "bacterial SSU rRNA". It matches the Rfam family "Bacterial small subunit ribosomal RNA", at positions 26 to 518 of the family's 1533-position model. The record is from RNAcentral.
AGAACGAACGCUGGCGGCAUGCCUAAUACAUGCAAGGUCGAACGAACUCUUCGGAGUUAGUGGCGCACGGGUGCGUAACGCGUGGGAAUCUGCCCGUUGGGUUCGGAAUAACAGUUGGAAACGACUGCUAAUACCGGAUGAUGACGAAAGUCCAAAGAUUUAUCGCCCAGGGAUGAGCCCGCGUAGGAUUAGCUAGUUGGUGAGGUAAAGGCUCACCAAGGCGACGAUCCUUAGCUGGUCUGAGAGGAUGAUCAGCCACACUGGGACUGAGACACGGCCCAGACUCCACGGGAGCAGCAGUAGGGAAUAUUGGACAAUGGGCGAAAGCCUGAUCCAGCAAUGCCGCGUGAGUGAUGAAGGCCUUAGGUUGUAAAGCUCUUUACCGAGAUGAUAAUGACAGUAUCGGAGAAUAAGCCCCGGCUAACGUCCGUGCCAGCAGCCGC